RNA transcript from Rhea pennata, 2598 nucleotides. RefSeq lists it as uncharacterized. Lineage: Eukaryota; Metazoa; Chordata; Aves; Rheiformes; Rheidae. The record is from RefSeq and is a predicted model, not a curated record. The transcript is spliced from 2 exons.
GCCGAGGCCCCCGCCAGGCGCAACGCCGCAUGCCCGGCGCUGGCGCCGCCCCGGCCCGCCCCUUCCCGGGCGCUGAGGGGGCGGUGGCCAAGCCCGGGCCGAGGGGGAGGUGUCCGGCCCGCCUACCUCCCCGGGCGCCCGGCCUGGGCUUGGCUGCUCCCUCUGCGAAAGAAGGAGCAAUUUUUUAUCGCGUUUGGCUGCAGCUGCACGACCGAGGGGGAAGGGGCUUUCCUCACCCGGCAAUGGCUCCCCGCCCGGCUUCCCCUCGUUCACUCAGCUGAAGGCACAAAGAAAAGAGAGAGAUGUUCUUCCUGCAACAUUUCCUGGUUAUUGUACCUAUCUUCUUCAUAACAAGCAAAGGAUAUUUAAUGUACAGUCACAACAAACAAACAUGGCCUAUGUGACUAUGGAAUGGCUGUGACUCUUCAUGAGGAAAGACAUACAUUGUCAGAAGGUACCAUAUAGAUGCUACCAACAAGGAGCAUCCUUUUAUAAUAGGCAACAACUGUAUGGAAGUUCUCCAGGUAGAAUUACAGCUACAGAUGAAGCUGUUGGGCAGACAGGUCAAGCAGAGGAAGCAGAAUUAUUUGCUGAUAUUUAAAAGAGAAAAACUGAAAAACUAUCUGCACUGACAAAAUGCCUUUUUGAGGUCUGCUGUGUGUUUAAAGUUGUGGUUAGCACCUUUCAUUUAAUGUGAGAGGUACUAGAAGUGGUAUCUCAGCAGUGAAAAAGUUAAUUGGUUGCCACGUUAGGUAGCUAUUAGCAGUGGUGAACGGAUGCUGGGACCUAGAGAAGGCAACUCCUACAAUAAUGAUGAGCAGUAGAGGGUAGGAGGAAUAUAAUAAAAUAAUGCUAAGUGAUCUCUGAUUUUUCUUCCUGGAAAUAUGAGGUCAGUUUUGAAAGGAGCAUUACAGUGACAGCAUACAGGAAGUGAGAACAAGUGUGAAGAAAAAAAUAAAAACAAUCAGACACGAAUUAUGGAAGAUGAUGCAGAUCAACAUGACUCAAGAGAAAUAUGAUACAGGUUUCAGAAAGGAUUAUUGGAAUAUAUGAUGUUCAUGAUGCUAUUUUCUGUGGAAUUAACGCUUUGGUGAAAUAUAUACAGCUCCUCUCCAAAGACAAAUGUUGGAGUAGUCAAGCCUGACAGGCAUUCAUAAAUUUCUUCAGAGCAAUUGGAGACCUUUUCUUCCACACUACUCUAGACUGUGAAAUAUAGGCCACAGUUCACAGUACAAUUCAAACUUAUGUCUUGUACCAUAUCAUUUAUACUCUGCCAGCUGCAUAGCUAUUAUACUGAUACUGGACUGUGUAGAAUUUGACAGAAACACCAGGAUUAUAACUAAACAAGCACAAUUCCUGACUAGGUCCAUUGUUUUUAGAACCUCUAGUUAAAAAGAAAAAUGUUAAGGAAAACAGUAAUAAUAACCAAAUCUUAGUUACUAACUAUUUUGAACCAAAAGAGCUGUAGAAAGCCCCAUGACAGUUAACUUGUCCGUCCAUCCACCCAACACAGCAGCAACAAAAAGAACAGUCAGUUCAUCAAAACAAAGUCAGUCUUCAGUGGUAUGAAAGCCACAGAGGAGAUAAGUUCUAACAAGAUGAGGCCAAGGAAAAGUUCAAACAACCAUGAAAAAAAUCAAUUAUCUUCAAAAAAGAGAGGGUAACUUAAAGAAAGGUUCAAAAGCAACUUAUAACCUUUGUGAAGUGCACACUGUAAUACCUUGUCUUAACCUUAACUCUGAGAAAGGAUGACUGUAGAUUUUAACAAAAUAUUACUUACAUAAAGACAGAGCAAGUGAAAAAUCACCCUAUCCAAACAUGGUUCCUGAAAUUAAAAUGUCAAAGGUUUGCAGAAUUUGUAGAAUUCUAGAUCUGUCAGUUAUUCCAAUGACAAUGGAAAGCAAGGACUUUCACCACACAUCGUUAGAAAACUUUUUAUGAAAAAUAAUGGCAGUCCUGCAUAAAUUAGCCAGUUAUGAGCAAUGCCCUUGGGUCUUUCCCUCCUUUCAGAGUAGUAACAUAGAACAGCUCCAUUACCUUUCCUGAAAAUGUUUGCUGAGGCUCUCACGACUGAUGAAAGAGAUGUCUAAGAAUUGCUUGGAAAAACAGAAAAGUAGGGUGGCUAAGCCCUUGCAUGAUGACAGUGGGGUAUGACAUUUUCCCACUGAGUAAAGGGGUAGGAGUUACACAGCUUCACAGUCCUUUGAACAGGCAUUCCUAGUCUGUAACUAAACUUUCGUUCAUGUUGCUUUUCUCUCUUUUUCCCACAACUCAUUUUAAACAGAAUACCAUUGUUUCUGGAAUACCCUGAUUAGAAUAGCCACACAAAUUUCUUUCUUCCCGUAGUUACAGUUUUUGAGUUUUAUUAGAUUGCUUUCUUUCACAUGAACCUUGCUGUGCCACUCACAUCCACAGCAAGAUAAAAUGUGCGUAAAGCAAAAAAUCUCAGUUGCUCACCUUCAUGGGUUGCUACAUCAGUUGCCAUCUCUUUCAGUGGUCCUACAUCAGAUGUAGGCCUCAUUCUGUAAACAGAUGUACAUGUUUAAACUUUGCCAUAAGUAGCCUUUAUUGAAAUAAAUGGGUUACACACAUGCCUAA